Small nucleolar RNA from Varanus komodoensis (Komodo dragon), 101 nucleotides. The record is from Ensembl. NCBI's taxonomy places the organism in Eukaryota, Metazoa, Chordata, Lepidosauria, Squamata, Varanidae.
UCUCUCCCCAUAGGGCAGGGUUUCUAAACCCUGGAUCAUUGGAAGGGAGAGAGUUGAAGGGGUUGUUCUAAGCCAACCUGUAUAUGAACAUCCCCAGCAGG